UCCCUGGUGGCUCAGUGGGUUAAGGAUCCGGUAUUGUCAUUGCUGUGGUCCAGGUUCGAUCCCUGGCCUGGGAA
Molecule: transfer RNA, 74 nt
Filed under: Sus scrofa (pig)
Lineage: Eukaryota; Metazoa; Chordata; Mammalia; Artiodactyla; Suidae
Rfam family: tRNA
About the family: Transfer RNA (tRNA) molecules are approximately 80 nucleotides in length. Their secondary structure includes four short double-helical elements and three loops (D, anti-codon, and T loops).
Source: Rfam by way of RNAcentral